This 108-nucleotide transfer RNA is filed under the name Pantoea agglomerans. RNAcentral describes it as "tRNA-Leu". It matches the Rfam family "tRNA". From Rfam's summary of the family: Transfer RNA (tRNA) molecules are approximately 80 nucleotides in length. Their secondary structure includes four short double-helical elements and three loops (D, anti-codon, and T loops). Lineage: Bacteria; Pseudomonadati; Pseudomonadota; Gammaproteobacteria; Enterobacterales; Erwiniaceae. The record is from RNAcentral.
GCGAAGGUGGCGGAAUUGGUAGACGCGCUAGCUUCAGGNGUAGACGCGCUAGCUUCAGGUGUUAGUGUCUUAACGGACGUGAGGGUUCAAGUCCCUCUCUUCGCACCA